CCUACGGGCGGCAGCAGUGGGGAAUAUUGGGCAAUGGGCGCAAGCCUGACCCAGCCACGCCGCGUGAAGGAAGAAGGCUUUCGGGUUGUAAACUUCUUUUCUGAGGGACGAAGAAAGUGACGGUACCUCAGGAAUAAGCCACGGCUAACUACGUGCCAGCAGCCGCGGUAAUACGUAGGUGGCAAGCGUUAUCCGGAUUGGAUGGGGGUAAAGGGCGUGUAGGCGGUAAUGCAAGUCAGAUGUGAAAACGCAGGGCUCAACCCUGAGCCUGCCUUUGAAACUGUUUUUCUUGAGUGUUGGAGAGGCAAUCGGAAUGCCGGGUGUAGCGGUGAAAUGCGUAGAUAUACGGAGGAACACCAGUGGCGAAGGCGGAUUGCUGGACAGUAACUGACGCUGAGGCGCGAAAGCGUGGGGAGCAAACAGGAUUAGAUACCCCUGUAGUC
Molecule: ribosomal RNA, 443 nt
Filed under: uncultured bacterium
Lineage: Bacteria
Description: partial 16S ribosomal RNA
Rfam family: Bacterial small subunit ribosomal RNA
Source: RNAcentral